This is a long non-coding RNA of Oncorhynchus keta (chum salmon), 201 nucleotides long. RefSeq lists it as uncharacterized. NCBI's taxonomy places the organism in Eukaryota, Metazoa, Chordata, Actinopteri, Salmoniformes, Salmonidae. The record is from RefSeq and is a predicted model, not a curated record. The transcript is spliced from 3 exons.
UGUCCUUACAGAAGGUUAGAGGGAUAAUGUCCUGACAGAAUGUCAGAGGGAUAAUGUCCUGACAGAAGGUCAGAGGGAUAAUGUCCUGACAGAAUAAGAGGAUAAUGUCCUGACAGAAGGUCAGAGGGAUAAUGUCCUGACAGAAGGUCAGAGGGAUACUGUCCUGACAGAAGGUCAGAGGGAUACUGUCCUGACAGAAGA